UCCUACGGGGGGCAGCAGUGAGGAAUAUUGGUCAAUGGGCGGAAGCCUGAACCAGCCAAGUCGCGUGAGGGAAUAAGGCCCUACGGGUCGUAAACCUCUUUUGCCGGGGAGCAAGGGCGGGGACGUGUCCCGGCCCGGAGAGUACCCGGAGAAAAAGCAUCGGCUAACUCCGUGCCAGCAGCCGCGGUAAUACGGAGGAUGCGAGCGUUAUCCGGAUUUAUUGGGUUUAAAGGGUGCGUAGGCGGGGCGACAAGUCGGCGGUCAAAUGUCGGGGCUCAACCCCGGCCUGCCGUCG
RNAcentral lists this ribosomal RNA (295 nucleotides) under uncultured bacterium. RNAcentral's name for it is "partial 16S ribosomal RNA". It matches the Rfam family "Bacterial small subunit ribosomal RNA", at positions 337 to 629 of the family's 1533-position model. The record is from RNAcentral.